RNAcentral lists this ribosomal RNA (486 nucleotides) under uncultured bacterium. RNAcentral's name for it is "bacterial SSU rRNA". It matches the Rfam family "Bacterial small subunit ribosomal RNA", at positions 899 to 1397 of the family's 1533-position model. The record is from RNAcentral.
ACUCAAAUGAAUUGACGGGGGCCCGCACAAGCAGCGGAGCGUGUGGUUUAAUUCGAUGAUACACGAAGAACCUUACCCAGGCUUGACAUGUUGGUAUCGGGGUCUAUGAAAGUAGGCCCCACCCUCGGGAGGCCAUCACAGGUGCUGCAUGGCUGUCGUCAGCUCGUGUCGUGAGAUGUCCGGUUAAGUCCGGUAACGAGCGCAACCCUCGCUGUGUGUUAUAUGUGUCACACGGGACUGCCGGUAUCAAGCCGGAGGAAGGUGGGGAUGACGUCAAGUCAGCAUGGCCUUUAUGUCUGGGGCUACACACACGCUACAAUGGCCAGUACAAUAGGUUGCAAAACCGCGAGGUGGAGCCAAUCCUUAAAGCUGGUCUCAGUUCGGAUUGCAGGCUGCAACUCGCCUGCAUGAAGUCGGAGUUGCUAGUAACCGCGCGUCAGCCAUAGUGCGGUGAAUACGUUCCCGGGCCUUGUACACACCGCCCGU